GGGGAUAGCUCAGUGGUAGAGCACAUGCUCAGCACGCAUGAGGUCCUAGUUUGAUCCCCAGUAUCUCCA
RNAcentral lists this transfer RNA (69 nucleotides) under Camelus ferus (Wild Bactrian camel). It matches the Rfam family "tRNA". From Rfam's summary of the family: Transfer RNA (tRNA) molecules are approximately 80 nucleotides in length. The record is from Rfam by way of RNAcentral. Lineage: Eukaryota; Metazoa; Chordata; Mammalia; Artiodactyla; Camelidae.